UACGGGGGGUGCUAGCGUUGUUCGGAAUCACUGGGCGUAAAGGGCGUGUAGGCGGCAUGGUAAGUCGGAUGUGAAAUCCCAUGGCUUAACUGUGGAAGUGCAUUCGAAACUGCCAAGCUAGAGUGCGGGAGAGGGAAGGGGAAUUCCGGGUGUAGAGGUGAAAUUCGUAGAUAUCCGGAGGAAUACCGGUGGCGAAGGCGCCUUCCUGGACCGACACUGACGCUGAGACGCGAAAGCGUGGGGAG
RNAcentral lists this ribosomal RNA (245 nucleotides) under uncultured bacterium. Its description in RNAcentral is "partial 16S ribosomal RNA". It matches the Rfam family "Bacterial small subunit ribosomal RNA", at positions 524 to 768 of the family's 1533-position model. The record is from RNAcentral.